RNAcentral lists this transfer RNA (77 nucleotides) under Deltaproteobacteria bacterium. Its description in RNAcentral is "tRNA-Arg". It matches the Rfam family "tRNA". Rfam says of the family: Transfer RNA (tRNA) molecules are approximately 80 nucleotides in length. Their secondary structure includes four short double-helical elements and three loops (D, anti-codon, and T loops). Lineage: Bacteria; Pseudomonadati; Myxococcota; Myxococcia. The record is from RNAcentral.
GCGCGGUUAGCUCAGCUGGAUAGAGCGACGGUCUCCGGAACCGUAGGUCGUGGGUUCGAAUCCCGCACCGCGCACUA